This 402-nucleotide long non-coding RNA is filed under the name Mustela putorius furo (domestic ferret). RNAcentral describes it as "lncRNA (ENSMPUG00000029347.1)". The record is from RNAcentral. Lineage: Eukaryota; Metazoa; Chordata; Mammalia; Carnivora; Mustelidae.
GGCCUUUUUUUUUUUAAAGGUGGAAAGAGAAUAGCUGAAAUAAGAGAGCAGAAUUUUUAGGUGAAAUGGCAUCUUUCAUACGUGGGCAGGAAGAUUCCCAUGGAUGAAGAUUCUUCAGGUGGAAUGCAACAGUCUGAAACCCCGAAGUAGACAGCCACUGGUGCAGAGACAGAGUGUUUUCCCCUCUGCUUUCAUGCUUCCCAAACCUCAGGCAAUCUCGUGGUGGCUGCAGUGACUUCAGCGGCUGCAGUGCAAACAGAAAUUGCAGGGGCCAAACACUGGAGGAGAUUCUCUCUCUCAACAGAGCUGAAAAUCCAGGAGGAUGUGGGGAAAUCUUUCUGUCCUCCUGCCAUUUGGCCCAAAUUCAGAUGUAGUCCCAGAAGGGUGCAGGAGAGUAGGAUA